This 201-nucleotide long non-coding RNA is filed under the name Carica papaya (papaya). Its description in RNAcentral is "long non-coding RNA (CPAP_LNC014759)". Lineage: Eukaryota; Viridiplantae; Streptophyta; Magnoliopsida; Brassicales; Caricaceae. The record is from RNAcentral.
GAGAAAUGAGAGGUUGUAUACUAAUUUCAAGAAGUGUUCUUUUUGUUUAGAUCGAAUUGUGUUUCAGGUUUUGUUGUAAGCAAAGUGUUGAAGUUGAUGAAGAGAAGUUAAGUGCUAUUAAGAGCUGGCCUAUUCCUAAAUCGGUAAGUGAGGUUCUGAAGUUCUCAUAGUUUGGCUAGUUUUUAUGUGCUAUUUGGUUAU